Long non-coding RNA from Zingiber officinale, 1036 nucleotides. RefSeq lists it as uncharacterized. The transcript is spliced from 3 exons. Lineage: Eukaryota; Viridiplantae; Streptophyta; Magnoliopsida; Zingiberales; Zingiberaceae. The record is from RefSeq and is a predicted model, not a curated record.
UUUUCCUUCCGCGAGCCGACCCUUGCCCAAAAAUCUUGCGGCGACUUCUCCCGAGCCCUAACCGGCGCCGAGCUCCUUCUCCCUCUCACUCUCAUGGCGAGGAGCGCCUCUCCCCUCUACUGAUCUCCUCUCCCCCUCGUCCAUGCUGAGCCGCGCGCCGAUCACCGGCCACAAGAAUCCAGUGCCGUCGCCGUGCCCUAGCGCCUGCCGACGCCCUCUUCCUCUCCUCUGGCCGACGCGACACUACUGCCCUUCUUCUCUACCUAGUGCCGGCCGCCGCCGCCCUUUCUCCAUUUGCCUCGGUCACCACAGCCGACAUCAGAACCCUAACGCCGAGCCUUCUUCGCUGCCCUAGCACCGACGCCCUGCCAAACAGCCAUUGUGCCCGAAGAUCUGCAACACCGACUGUCGCCUUGUUCCUUGCUUGAGCAGCCAGUGAUCGCCGAGAUUCUCCUCACUAGUGUCAUGCCGUAGAGCUGAUGCCACCACCGUCGUCAUCCCAGCAGCCGCAAGUCCUUCUGCCGGCGUCGCGUAGCCUUCUUCCCCUCCUCAGCCGCAGAUUCGACCUGACUUUGACCUUGCCAUUGAGUGUCCUAUUCUUCUCCAACCACAGACCAGUGCCAUAUUGAUUUAUUGUGCCAAGCCGUGCCUAGCCGGACCUUGGAGGGAGUUUGGAUUGAAAAUUCACUGGCAUGUGAAAUGUGAAGGUUUUAGAUUUGAAUUGGAGAUUUUCUGAUUCAAGGUUGGAAUUUCAGAUGAGAUUUGAGGUGCGGAUCGUCGAUGAUUUACAUUGAGGGCGGCAGCUUCGUGGUUGCUCCGACUAGGAUUUUCUGACCACCAUUUCUUUGACUGCGAGGUGAUUAAAGGAUACUCACUAUUGGGACCCUGAUUACGGGACGAUUGUUCUGAUGUGAGGAUUGUUUAUCACAGACUACAGUUAAAGGCGGGUACCUCUUGACUUAUCUUUUAUGAUAUUGUCAUUGGAUAUGUAUAGUAUUUUAUAACUACAUGCAAUGAACAUGUUUGCCUUUGGUAU